GGAGGGGUGGCAGAGCGGUUCAAUGCACCGGUCUUGAAAACCGGCGUCCGUAAGGACUCGUGGGUUCGAAUCCCACCCCCUCCG
This 84-nucleotide transfer RNA is filed under the name Longimicrobiales bacterium. RNAcentral describes it as "tRNA-Ser". It matches the Rfam family "tRNA". Rfam says of the family: Transfer RNA (tRNA) molecules are approximately 80 nucleotides in length. Their secondary structure includes four short double-helical elements and three loops (D, anti-codon, and T loops). Further hydrogen bonds mediate the characteristic L-shaped molecular structure. tRNAs have two regions of fundamental functional importance: the anti-codon, which is responsible for specific mRNA codon recognition, and the 3' end, to which the tRNAs corresponding amino acid is attached (by aminoacyl-tRNA synthetases). tRNAs cope with the degeneracy of the genetic code in two manners: having more than one tRNA (with a specific anti-codon) for a particular amino acid; and 'wobble' base-pairing, i.e. permitting non-standard base-pairing at the 3rd anti-codon position. Lineage: Bacteria; Pseudomonadati; Gemmatimonadota; Longimicrobiia; Longimicrobiales. The record is from RNAcentral.